AGAAGAUGGUAAGGGCAAACGGUGGAUGCCUUGGCACAAGAAGCCGAUGAAGGACGUGAUAAGCUGCGAUAAGCCACGGUAAGGAGCACAUAUCCUGUGACCCGUGGAUUUCCGAAUGGGUAAACCCACCAAGAGUCAUUUCUUGGUACUUCCUGCUGAAUAUAUAGGCAGGAUAGAGGUAACCGGGGGAACUGAAACAUCUAAGUACCCCGAGGAAGAGAAAUCAAACGAGAUUCCCCUAGUAGUGGCGAGCGAACGGGGAUAUAGGACAAACCGUCAGUUGCGCAAGCGCUGGCGGGGUUGUAGGACCAUUCAUUGUGGAGUUACAAAACUUCGUGGAAGCAGAAUAGCUUGGAAAAGCUGGCGAGACAGGGUAAAAGCCCCGUACGCGAAUCUGCGAAGACUCCCGAGUGGCACCUGAGUACUGCCGGACACGUGAAACCCGGUGGGAACCUGGGGGGUCCACCCUCCAAUCCUAAAUACUCUCUUGUGACCGAUAGUGAACCAGUACCGUGAGGGAAAGGUGAAAAGCACCCCUAGCGGGGAGUGAAAUAGUACCUGAAACCGUUUGCCUACAAGCAGUCGGAGCAGACUUUUGUCUGUGACGGCGUGCCUUUUGUAGAAUGAGCCAGCGAGUUACGGCAUGUGGCAAGGUUAAGCUAAAAAGCGAGCCGCAGCGAAAGCGAGUCUGAAUAGGGCGAGUGAGUCGCAUACCGUAGACGCGAAGCCAGGUGAGCUAUCCAUGAGCAGGCUGAAGCGGGGGUAAGACCCCGUGGAGGGCCGAACCCACUUAGGUUGAAAACUGAGGGGAUGACUUGUGGAUAGGAGUGAAAGGCCUAUCAAACCUGGAGAUAUCUCGUUCUCUCCGAAAUAGCUUUAGGGCUAGCCUCGGAUGUUUACCAAUGGGGGUAGAGCACUGAAUAGUUGCGGGGGCUUCACCGCCUACCAAGAUUAAUCAAACUCCGAAUACCAUUGGUCUAGAAUCCGGGAGUCAGAAUAUGUGGGCUAAGCUGUGUAUUCGAAAGGGAAACAGCCCAGACCGCCCGCUAAGGUCCCAAAAUCAAUGCUAAGUGGCAAAGGAUGUGCGUUUGCUCAGACAACCAGGAUGUUGGCUUAGAAGCAGCCAUUCAUUUAAAGAGUGCGUAAUAGCUCACUGGUCGAGUGGACAUGCGCCGACAAUAUACGGGGCUAAGCAUUGUACCGAAGCGGCGGAUCAGUACUUUGUACUGGUGGUAGGAGAGCUUUCUGUACGGGUUGAAGCAGUUGGAUAACCAACUGUGGACUGUCCAGAAGUGAGAAUGCUGGCAUGAGUAACGAGAGACAUGUAAAAAACAUGUCCGCCGUAAACCCAAGGUUUCCUGGGCAAGGCUAAUCCUCCCAGGGUUAGGCGGGAGCUAAGGCAAGGCCGGAAGGCGUAGUCGAUGCACAACAGGUAGAAAUUCCUGUCCCUCCAAAAGAGCGUUAUCACCAAUGGGGUGACGGAGCAGGGUAGCUAGGCGGGGUUCUGGACGUCCCCGUGAUGGCACGUAGGCUGAGAAGUAGUGAAAUGCGCUUCUCGUGACGGCUGAGGUGUCGGACGAAGCAAUUGAGUGAAGCUAGUAAGCCCAUACUUCCAAGAAAAACCUCUAGGGAGCUCUGAGGAGCCCGUACCGCAAACCGACACAGGUGGGUGGGUAGAGCAUACCAAGGCGAUCGGGAGAACUAUGGUUAAGGAACUCGGCAAAAUUGCCCCGUAACUUCGGGAGAAGGGGUGCCGGUUUCGGUGAAGGGAUUUACUCCCCGAGCUAAGAUCGGUCACAGUAAAUAGGUCCAAGCGACUGUUUAUCAAAAACACAGGACUCUGCUGAAGUCGUAAGACGACGUAUAGGGUCUGACGCCUGCCCGGUGCCGGAAGGUCACGAGGAGUUGUUAGCAUUAGCGAAGCAGCGAAUCUAAGCCCCGGUAAACGGCGGCCGUAACUAUAACGGUCCUAAGGUAGCGAAAUUCCUUGUCGGGU
Molecule: ribosomal RNA, 1996 nt
Filed under: human oral metagenome
Also listed under: 1 other name
Description: bacterial LSU rRNA
Rfam family: Bacterial large subunit ribosomal RNA
Source: RNAcentral